CUUGCUAAAUGCUUCUUGGAUCUAAACCCCCCUGCAAAUUCCCUCAAAAUUCCCUGUCCGAAACACAACCAAAGCCGUGUCCCUUUCUGAAAAAAAUGCAAGGGAGGGGAAAAAAAAAGCCCUGCGAGGAGCCGACCCGUUUCCAAAUGCCCGCAAGCGGAGGCAUUGCCCCAUUUGCUCCGCUGCAUUUCGGGGCCAAGCCUGGCCACAGCUCCCUGAGAUGGCGACCGCGCCGCGUCCCCUCCAUCCGAGGGCCUUGCGUCCAGCAGGCAGCCCCAGCCCGGCACCGUGCGCUGCGGUGCCUUCGGCUGCCCCAAACCUGCCCACGGGCGUGCUCAGGCUUCCCCUCUUUGCUGCGAGCCCGGCGAGGAAUUUGGUUUCUGUCCCUGGCAGAGGACUGCUGUUAUUAAUAUCCCUCCUCAUUUCUUCUGCGCCGCCGGUGAGUGGCUGUAACCGGAGAGCAGCGCCGGGGGGGUCGCGAACAACCGGGGCUGGCGCUUCUCAGUCGCCGAAACUUUCGGCAAUUUUCUUUGCUCACCCGUGGGGAGGGCUCCGAGAGCUGCGUUCGCCGCUGGCUUUGCGCCCAGGGGCUGCUCCGCGUGGGUCGCUCGGUGUUCGAAGCAAAGCCGCGGCCGUCUCCAAAAAAUCCCUGCCCAGCUUUCCUGGCCGAAAGCCAGAAGAGAC
This is a long non-coding RNA of Oxyura jamaicensis (ruddy duck), 684 nucleotides long. RefSeq lists it as uncharacterized. NCBI's taxonomy places the organism in Eukaryota, Metazoa, Chordata, Aves, Anseriformes, Anatidae. The transcript is spliced from 3 exons. The record is from RefSeq and is a predicted model, not a curated record.